RNAcentral lists this ribosomal RNA (395 nucleotides) under uncultured bacterium. RNAcentral's name for it is "partial 16S ribosomal RNA". It matches the Rfam family "Bacterial small subunit ribosomal RNA", at positions 523 to 916 of the family's 1533-position model. The record is from RNAcentral.
AUACGUAGGGGGCGAGCGUUGUCCGGAAUGAUUGGGCGUAAAGGGCGCGUAGGCGGCCCGGUAAGUCUGGAGUGAAAGUCCUGUUUUUAAGAUGGGAAUUGCUUUGGAUACUGUCGGGCUUGAGUGCAGGAGAGGUAAGUGGAAUUCCCAGUGUAGCGGUGAAAUGCGUAGAGAUUGGGAGGAACACCAGUGGCGAAGGCGACUUACUGGACUGUAACUGACGCUGAGGCGCGAAAGUGUGGGGAGCAAACAGGAUUAGAUACCCUGGUAGUCCACACUGUAAACGAUGAAUGCUAGGUGUAGUGGGUAUCGACCCCUUCUGUGCCGCAGUCAACACAAUAAGCAUUCCGCCUGGGGAUUACGGCCGCAAGGUUGAAACUUAAAGGAAUUGACGG